This 1382-nucleotide unclassified non-coding RNA is filed under the name Hevea brasiliensis (rubber tree). The record is from RNAcentral. Lineage: Eukaryota; Viridiplantae; Streptophyta; Magnoliopsida; Malpighiales; Euphorbiaceae.
AAGUAAUCCGAAGUGGGAAUUGUUGGUUCUAAGGAACCCCCGUCUCCCUCUAAUACUAGUAGCCUCUCACUUCAAUCCUCUAUUGCAUAAUCCUCUAUUGCUCUGAGAAAAGUGAGUGAGUGAGAGAGAGCAAUGGAGAUGUCAAUGGCUUCUACAACUCCAUGUUUCUCCCUCCCCAAGAAAACUUUUUGUAUUUCCACUCCUCUCCUUAAGAAACAAUUGUUUGGUACUACUUUGCCUGGUUGUUUAUCUGCUAAACUACCCCUCAAACUCAACCCAAUUCAUACUUCUAUAAAAUGCGCUGUUUCUGAGGCUACUCAAGCUCCAUCUGCCUUAGAGAAGAAGAGCCAAUUGAUGAGGAGAAGUGAUAUACGGAAUAUAGCAAUUGUUGCACAUGUUGAUCAUGGGAAGACUACAUUGGUUGAUUCAAUGCUCAAACAAGCAAAGGUUUUUCGUGAUAACCAGUUUGUACAAGAAAGGAUCAUGGACUCCAACGAUAUAGAGCGUGAAAGGGGAAUAACAAUACUUAGCAAAAAUACAUCAAUUACUUACAAGGAUACAAAAAUCAACAUAAUUGACACUCCAGGGCACUCUGACUUUGGUGGUGAAGUAGAACGCAUCCUCAAUAUGGUUGAAGGAGUUCUCCUUGUGGUAGAUUCUGUUGAGGGUCCAAUGCCACAGACAAGAUUUGUCUUGAAGAAGGCUCUGGAGUUUGGCCAUGCUGUAGUUGUUGUAGUCAAUAAAAUUGAUAGACCUUCUGCUCGUCCAGAGUUUGUUGUCAACUCUACGUUUGAGCUCUUCAUUGAACUUAAUGCCACCGAUGAACAGUGUGAUUUUCAGGUAAUAUAUGCCAGUGGUAUCAAGGGAAAGGCAGGACUAUCACCUGAAAAUUUGGGUGAGGAUCUUGGCUCAUUAUUUGAGGCCGUCAUCAGAUGUAUUCCAGGGCCCAAGAUUAAUAAAGAUGGUGCACUUCAAAUGCUUGCUACAAAUAUUGAGUAUGAAGAACAUAAAGGGCGCAUAGCUAUUGGACGUGUGCAUGCUGGAAGUCUGCGCAGGGGAAUGGAUGUGAAGAUAUGUACAUCUGAAGACGCAUGCAGAUUCGGCAGAGUAAGUGAGUUAUUUGUGUAUGAGAAAUUCAGUAGAGUUCCUGCUGAAACUGUUGAAGCUGGAGAUAUUUGUGCGGUGUGUGGCAUUGAUGAUAUUCAGAUCGGAGAGACUAUCGCUGACAAAAGCGAUGGAAAACCAUUACCUUCAAUCAAGGUUGAAGAACCUACAGUGAAAAUGUCAUUUUCAGUCAAUACAUCCCCCUUUGUUGGCCGUGAGGGAAAGUAUGUUACUAGUCGAAACCUAAGAGACCGGUUGUACCGUGAGCUGGAAAGAAA